GGACUGGCUGGCCGGUCCGCCUCGCGGCGAGUACUGGUCUGGCUGGUCCUUUCCUUCUGGCGAACCGUCAUGGCCUUAACCGGCCGUGGCGGGGAACCAGGACUUUUACUGUGAAAAAAUUAGAGUGUUCAAAGCAGGCAAUCGCUUGGAUACAUUAGCAUGGAAUAAUGGAAUAGGACAAUGGUUCUAUUUGUUGGUUUCUAGGACCGUUGUA
This 214-nucleotide ribosomal RNA is filed under the name Campeiostachys nutans. Its description in RNAcentral is "Elymus nutans partial small subunit ribosomal RNA". The stretch from base 92 to 214 matches the Rfam family "Eukaryotic small subunit ribosomal RNA", at positions 738 to 864 of the family's 1831-position model. The record is from RNAcentral. Lineage: Eukaryota; Viridiplantae; Streptophyta; Magnoliopsida; Poales; Poaceae.